Molecule: ribosomal RNA, 300 nt
Filed under: Munidopsis comarge
Lineage: Eukaryota; Metazoa; Arthropoda; Malacostraca; Decapoda; Munidopsidae
Description: partial 16S ribosomal RNA
Rfam family: Bacterial large subunit ribosomal RNA
Source: RNAcentral
CUGCCCGCUGAAUUUUAAGGCCGCGGUAUUUUGACUGUGCUAAGGUAGCAUAAUAAUUAGCUUUUUAAUUGAGAGCUUGAAUGAAGGGUUGGACAAAGAAAAGGCUGUCUUUAAUAUUUUUAUUGAAUUUUACAUUUAAGUGAAAAGGCUUAAAUUAAUUUAAGGGACGAUAAGACCCUAUAAAUCUUUACAUUUUUUUUCUUUAGGGAUAACAGCGUAAUUUUUUUUAGAGUUCAUAUCGAAAGAAGAGUUUGCGACCUCGAUGUUGAAUUAAAAAUUUCUUUAUGGUGUAGUCGUUAU